This 253-nucleotide ribosomal RNA is filed under the name uncultured bacterium. RNAcentral describes it as "partial 16S ribosomal RNA". It matches the Rfam family "Bacterial small subunit ribosomal RNA", at positions 524 to 776 of the family's 1533-position model. The record is from RNAcentral.
UACGUAGGGGGCAAGCGUUGUCCGGAAUCAUUGGGCGUAAAGCGCGUGUAGGCGGCCCGGUAAGUCCGCUGUGAAAGUCGGGGGCUCAACCCUCGAAUGCCGGUGGAUACUGUCGGGCUAGAGUGCGGGAGAGGCGAGUGGAAUUCCUGGUGUAGCGGUGAAAUGCGUAGAGAUGUGGAGGAACACCAGUGGCGAAGGCGACUCUUUGGCCUGUAACUGACGCUGAGGCGCGAAAGCGUGGGGAGCAAACAGG